Molecule: ribosomal RNA, 503 nt
Filed under: uncultured Desulfobulbus sp.
Lineage: Bacteria; Pseudomonadati; Thermodesulfobacteriota; Desulfobulbia; Desulfobulbales; Desulfobulbaceae
Description: bacterial SSU rRNA
Rfam family: Bacterial small subunit ribosomal RNA
Source: RNAcentral
GCCAGCCCGCUCAGAACUUAAAGGAAUUGACGGGGCCCGGCACAAGCGGUGGAGUAUGUGGUUUAAUCGAUGCAACGCGAAGAACCUUACCUGGUCUUGACAUCCCGGAGACCCUUAGGAAACUAGGGGGUGCUUCCAUCUGGAAGAAUCUGGAGACAGGUGCUGCAUGGCUGUCGUCAGCUCGUGUCGUGAGAUGUUGGGUUAAGUCCCGCAACGAGCGCAACCCUUGCCUUUAGUUGCCAGCAGUUCGGCUGGGCACUCUAAAGGGACUGCCGGUGUUAAACCGGAGGAAGGUGGGGAUGACGUCAAGUCCUCAUGGCCUUUAUGACCAGGGCUACACACGUACUACAAUGGCCGAUACAAAGGGCAGCGACACUGCGAGGUGAAGCCAAUCCCGUAAAAUCGGUCUCAGUCCGGAUUGGAGCCUGCAACUCGACUCCAUGAAGUUGGAAUCGCUAGUAAUCGUGGAUCAGCAUGCCACGGUGAAUACGUUCCCGGGCCUU